UCAGUAAUAUGGUCUUUUGGUUCUCGCC
This 28-nucleotide non-coding RNA is filed under the name Bombyx mori (domestic silkworm). Lineage: Eukaryota; Metazoa; Arthropoda; Insecta; Lepidoptera; Bombycidae. The record is from RNAcentral.